RNAcentral lists this ribosomal RNA (527 nucleotides) under uncultured Sphingomonas sp. Its description in RNAcentral is "bacterial SSU rRNA". It matches the Rfam family "Bacterial small subunit ribosomal RNA", at positions 88 to 651 of the family's 1533-position model. The record is from RNAcentral. Lineage: Bacteria; Pseudomonadati; Pseudomonadota; Alphaproteobacteria; Sphingomonadales; Sphingomonadaceae.
GGCCUUAGUGGCGCACGGGUGCGUAACGCGUGGGAAUCUGCCCCUUGGUUCGGAAUAACAGUUGGAAACGACUGCUAAUACCGGAUGAUGACGUAAGUCCAAAGAUUUAUCGCCGAGGGAUGAGCCCGCGUAGGAUUAGGUAGUUGGUGUGGUAAAGGCGCACCAAGCCGACGAUCCUUAGCUGGUCUGAGAGGAUGAUCAGCCACACUGGGACUGAGACACGGCCCAGACUCCUACGGGAGGCAGCAGUGGGGAAUAUUGGACAAUGGGCGAAAGCCUGAUCCAGCAAUGCCGCGUGAGUGAUGAAGGCCUUAGGGUUGUAAAGCUCUUUUACCCGGGAUGAUAAUGACAGUACCGGGAGAAUAAGCUCCGGCUACUCCGUGCCAGCAGCCGCGGUAAUACGGAGGGAGCUAGCGUUAUUCGGAAUUACUGGGCGUAAAGCGCACGUAGGCGGCUUUGUAAGUAAGAGGUGAAAGCCCAGAGCUCAACUCUGGAAUUGCCUUUUAGACUGCAUCGCUUGAAUCAUG